GGCUAAUUUUUGUAGAAAUGGGGUUUCACUGUGUUGGCCAGGCUGGUCUCAAACUCCUGGGUUCAAGUGAUCAGUUCACCUCGGCCCCCCAAAAUGCUGGGAUUACAGGCUUGAGCCACCGC
Sapajus apella (tufted capuchin) is the source of this 122-nucleotide long non-coding RNA. RefSeq lists it as uncharacterized. Lineage: Eukaryota; Metazoa; Chordata; Mammalia; Primates; Cebidae. The transcript is spliced from 3 exons. The record is from RefSeq and is a predicted model, not a curated record.